This 468-nucleotide ribosomal RNA is filed under the name uncultured bacterium. Its description in RNAcentral is "partial 16S ribosomal RNA". It matches the Rfam family "Bacterial small subunit ribosomal RNA", at positions 28 to 507 of the family's 1533-position model. The record is from RNAcentral.
GACGAACGCUGGCGGCGUGCUUAAUACAUGCAAGUCGAACGGAAAGACGCUGCGUUUGUUGCUUGCUCGAUUGGCGAACGGGUGAGUAACACGUGAGUAACCUCCCCUUGACUUUGGGAUAACUUCACGGGACUGGGGCGAUUAUCGGAUAUGAGCUCUUGCUGCGUAUGGGGGGUUGGAGAAUUUCGGCGGUUGGGGAUGUACUCGCGGCGUCUCAGCUGGUUGGUGGGGUAGUGGCUUACCAAGGCUUUGACGGGUAGCCGGCGUGAGAGGGUGACCGGCCACAUUGGGACUGAGAUACGGCCCAGACUCCUACGGGAGGCAGCAGUGGGGAAUAUUGCAAAAUGGGCGGAAGUCUGAUGCAGCAACGCCGCGUGCGGGAUGACGGCCUUCGGGUUGUAAACCGCUUUCGCCUGUGACGAAGCGUGAGUGACGGUAAUGGGUAAAGAAGCACCGGCUAACUACGUG